This 570-nucleotide unclassified non-coding RNA is filed under the name Beauveria pseudobassiana. RNAcentral's name for it is "sequence contains 18S rRNA gene, ITS1, 5.8S rRNA gene, ITS2, 28S rRNA gene". The stretch from base 206 to 359 matches the Rfam family "5.8S ribosomal RNA". Lineage: Eukaryota; Fungi; Ascomycota; Sordariomycetes; Hypocreales; Cordycipitaceae. The record is from RNAcentral.
UCGUAACAAGGUCUCCGUUGGUGAACCAGCGGAGGGAUCAUUACCGAGUUUUCAACUCCCAAACCCUUAUGUGAACCUACCUAUCGUUGCUUCGGCGGACUCGCCCCAGCCGGACGCGGACUGGACCAGCGGCCGCCGGGGACCAUCAAACUCUUGUAUUAUCAGCAUCUUCUGAAUACGCCGCAAGGCAAAACAAAUAAAUUAAAACUUUCAACAACGGAUCUCUUGGCUCUGGCAUCGAUGAAGAACGCAGCGAAAUGCGAUAAGUAAUGUGAAUUGCAGAAUCCAGUGAAUCAUCGAAUCUUUGAACGCACAUUGCGCCCGCCAGCAUUCUGGCGGGCAUGCCUGUUCGAGCGUCAUUUCAACCCUCGACCUCCCUUUGGGGAAGUCGGCGUUGGGGACCGGCAGCACACCGCCGGCCCUGAAAUGGAGUGGCGGCCCGUCCGCGGCGACCUCUGCGUAGUAAACCAACUCGCACCGGAACCCCGACGUGGCCACGCCGUAAAACACCCAACUUCUGAACGUUGACCUCGAAUCAGGUAGGACUACCCGCUGAACUUAAGCAUAUCA